RNAcentral lists this transfer RNA (76 nucleotides) under Actinomycetota bacterium. Its description in RNAcentral is "tRNA-His". Lineage: Bacteria; Bacillati; Actinomycetota. The record is from RNAcentral.
GUGGUCGUUCCCGUCGCGGGAAGGGCCCGGGUCGUGACCCCGGGAAGGCUCGGUUCGACUCCGGCCGAUCACCCCA